Molecule: non-coding RNA, 45 nt
Filed under: Schistosoma mansoni
Lineage: Eukaryota; Metazoa; Platyhelminthes; Trematoda; Strigeidida; Schistosomatidae
Source: RNAcentral
AUUCAUCUGACGAAUCCUAAAUAGGAAGAAACGCGCGUCCUUGAU